AGGUCCUUCGGGGUACUCGAGCGGCGAACGGGUGAGUAACACGUGAGCAACCUGCCCCUAGCUCUGGGAUAGCUCCGGGAAACCGGGAUUAAUACCAGAUACGACCACUUUAGACAUCUGUUGUGGUGGAAAGGAUUCCGGCUAGGGAUGGGCUCGCGGCCUAUCAGCUUGUUGGUGGGGUAACGGCCUACCAAGGCGACGACGGGUAGCCGGCCUGAGAGGGCGACCGGCCACACUGGGACUGAGACACGGCCCAGACUCCUACGGGAGGCAGCAGUGGGGAAUAUUGCGCAAUGGGCGAAAGCCUGACGCAGCGACGCCGCGUGGGGGAUGAAGGCCUUCGGGUUGUAAACCCCUUUCAGCAGGGACGAAGCGAGAGUGACGGUACCUGCAGAAGAAGCGCCGGCUAACUACGUGCCAGCAGCCGCGGUAACACGUAGGGCGCAAGCGUUGUCCGGAAUUAUUGGGCGUAAAGAGCUCGUAGGCGGUCUGUUGCGUCCGCUGUG
RNAcentral lists this ribosomal RNA (506 nucleotides) under uncultured Actinomycetes bacterium. RNAcentral's name for it is "bacterial SSU rRNA". It matches the Rfam family "Bacterial small subunit ribosomal RNA", at positions 72 to 596 of the family's 1533-position model. The record is from RNAcentral. Lineage: Bacteria; Bacillati; Actinomycetota; Actinomycetes.